ACACGCUUCAGCACAUCUCUGUGUCUGCACCAUGGCCUUGACCCCACUCAUCCUCCUUGUCAUCCUUCACUGUAGAGGGUCUCUGUCCCAGCUUGUGCUGACUCAGUCACCCUCUGCAUCUGCCUCCCUCGGGGCCUCGGCCAAGCUCACCUGCUCCCUGAACAGCGAAUACAAAACCUAUGGCAUUGCAUGGUUCCAGCAGUACCCAGGGAAGGAUCCUCAGUAUGUGAUGUGGGUUAAGAGUGAUGGCACCUUCAAUAAGGGGAAUGGAAUUCCUGACCGCUUCUCAGGCUCCAGCUCUGGGACUGACCGCUACUUGACCAUCUCCAACAUCAGUCCUGAGGAUGAAGCCGACUACAUCUGUGGUGCAGAUUACAGCAUUGGUGGGUCAUCUGGUUAAGCACA
Non-coding RNA from Octodon degus (degu), 405 nucleotides. The record is from the annotation of a RefSeq genome assembly. NCBI's taxonomy places the organism in Eukaryota, Metazoa, Chordata, Mammalia, Rodentia, Octodontidae.